RNAcentral lists this ribosomal RNA (467 nucleotides) under uncultured bacterium. RNAcentral's name for it is "partial 16S ribosomal RNA". It matches the Rfam family "Bacterial small subunit ribosomal RNA", at positions 28 to 507 of the family's 1533-position model. The record is from RNAcentral.
GAUGAACGCUGGCGGCGUGCUUAACACAUGCAAGUCGAACGGAAAGGCCCAAGCUUGCUUGGGUACUCGAGUGGCGAACGGGUGAGUAACACGUGGGUGAUCUGCCCUGCACUUCGGGAUAAGCCUGGGAAACUGGGUCUAAUACCGGAUAGGACGAUGGUUUGGAUGCCAUUGUGGAAAGUUUUUUCGGUGUGGGAUGAGCUCGCGGCCUAUCAGCUUGUUGGUGGGGUAAUGGCCUACCAAGGCGUCGACGGGUAGCCGGCCUGAGAGGGUGUACGGCCACAUUGGGACUGAGAUACGGCCCAGACUCCUACGGGAGGCAGCAGUGGGGAAUUUGCACAAUGGGCGCAAGCCUGAUGCAGCGACGCCGCGUGGGGGAUGACGGCCUUCGGGUUGUAAACUCCUUUCGCUAGGGACGAAGCGUUUUUGUGACGGUACCUGGAGAAGAAGCACCGGCUAACUACGUG